UAAUACUAGGGGUGCAAGCGUUGUCCGGAAUCAUUGGGCGUAAAGGGUGCGUAGGCGUCCAGGAAAGUUAUUUGUUAAAUCCUUCGGCUUAACCGAAGAAAUGCAAGUAAAACUAUCUGGAUAGAGUUUAAGAGAGGAAAAUGGAAUUCCUGGUGUAGCGGUGACAUGCGUAGAUAUCAGGAGGAACACCUAUGGCGAAGGCAGUUUUCUGGCUUAAAACUGACGCUGAGGCACGAAAGCGUGGGGAGCAAACAGGAUUAGAUACCCUGGUAGUCCACGCCGUAAACGAUGAGUACUUGGUGCCGGAGGAUUCGACCCCCUCGGUGCCGUAGCUAACGCGUUAAGUACUCCGCCUGGGGACUACGACCGCAAGGUUG
This 377-nucleotide ribosomal RNA is filed under the name uncultured Deferribacteres bacterium. Its description in RNAcentral is "bacterial SSU rRNA". It matches the Rfam family "Bacterial small subunit ribosomal RNA", at positions 521 to 896 of the family's 1533-position model. The record is from RNAcentral. Lineage: Bacteria; Pseudomonadati; Deferribacterota; Deferribacteres.